UGAGUACGAGAUGCUACGGCAUCGAAGCAGUCUAUGUCAUACUUCCAAGAAAAGCUUGCACUGUCAUAAACAAAGAAUGCCUGUACCAUAACCGACACAGGUGGGUAGGUAGAGUAUACUAAGGGGCGCGAGAUAACUCUCUCUAAGGAACUCGGCAAAAUGACUCCGUAACUUCGGGAGAAGGAGUGCCUUAUUUCUAAGGUCGCAAUAACAAGAUCCAAGCAACUGUUUACCAAAAACACAGGUCUCCGCUAAGUCGUAAGACGACGUAUGGGGGCUGACGCCUGCCCAGUGCCAGAAGGUUAAAGAAGUUGGUUAGCAUUAGCGAAGCUGAUAACUGAAGCCCUGGUGAACGGCGGCCGUGACUAUAACGGUCCUAAGGUAGCGAAAUUCCUUGUCGGGUAAGUUCCGACCCGCACGAAAGGCGUAAUGAUUUGGAUACUGUCUCGGAGAGGGGCUCGGUGAAAUAGACUUGUCUGUGAAGAUGCGGACUACCUGCACCUGGACAGAAAGACCCUAUGAAGCUUUACUGUAACUUGAGAUUGAAAUUGGACUUUAUUUGCGCAGUAUAGGUGGGAGGCGUUGAGAAUAAUCUUGCGGGAUUGUUGGAGCCAUCAGUGAGAUACCACUCUUGUAAUGUUAGAUUUCUAACUUUGUAUCAUUAUCUGGUCAAAGAACAGUUUCAGGCGGGCAGUUUGACUGGGGCGGUCGCCUCCCAAAGGGUAACGGAGGCGCACAAAGGUUUCCUCUGAACGGGUAGAAAUCGUAUCUAGAGUGUAAAGGCAUAAGGAAGCUUGACUGUGAGACCUACAAGUCGAGCAGGGACGAAAGUCGGUCUUAGUGAUCUGACGGUGCUGAGUGGAAAGGCCGUCACUCAACGGAUAAAAGUUACUCUAGGAUAACAGGCUGAUCUCCCCCAAGAGUUCACAUCGACGGGGAGGUUUGGCACCUCGAUGUCGGCUCAUCGCAUCCUGGGGCGGUAGUCCGUCCCAAGGGUUGGGCUGUUCGCCCAUGAAAGCGGUACGCGAGCUGGGUUCAGAACGUCGUGAGACAGUUCGGUCCAUAUCCGGUGUAGGCGUUAGAAUAUUGAGAGGAGCCUUCUCUAGUACGAGAGGACCGAGAAGGACAUACCUCUGGUGUACCAGUUAUCGUGCCAACGGUAAACGCUGGGUAGCUAUGUAUGGAGUGGAUAACCGCUGAAAGCAUCUAAGUGGGAAGCCCACCUCAAGAUAAGUAUUC
RNAcentral lists this ribosomal RNA (1239 nucleotides) under metagenome. RNAcentral describes it as "bacterial LSU rRNA". It matches the Rfam family "Bacterial large subunit ribosomal RNA", at positions 1564 to 2813 of the family's 2925-position model. The record is from RNAcentral.